RNAcentral lists this transfer RNA (73 nucleotides) under Zetaproteobacteria bacterium. Its description in RNAcentral is "tRNA-Lys". It matches the Rfam family "tRNA". From Rfam's summary of the family: Transfer RNA (tRNA) molecules are approximately 80 nucleotides in length. Their secondary structure includes four short double-helical elements and three loops (D, anti-codon, and T loops). The record is from RNAcentral. Lineage: Bacteria; Pseudomonadati; Pseudomonadota; Candidatius Mariprofundia.
CGGUUCCUAGCUCAGUUGGUAGAGCAUCUGACUCUUAAUCAGAGGGUCGUGGGUUCGAAACCCACGGGACCGA